Long non-coding RNA from Octopus sinensis (East Asian common octopus), 806 nucleotides. RefSeq lists it as uncharacterized. Lineage: Eukaryota; Metazoa; Mollusca; Cephalopoda; Octopoda; Octopodidae. The transcript has 2 exons. The record is from RefSeq and is a predicted model, not a curated record.
GUAUAUUUGGCCAUUUGUUUAAGAUCUGUUUUUCCAUGUUAACAAGGGUUUGGAUGGAUAGUUCGUUUAGGUAGGAUUUUGUGGGUGUGUAUGUGUAUAGGUAAUAUAAAUGUAGGUAUCUAUGUUUGCAUGGGUUACCUAGAAAGUUACAUAAGGUAGGCUUUUUUUAUAGCCUACCCAUACUUGUUUUUCAAGUAAGGGAUUUUCUUUAAAAAAAAAAACACUUCAAAAAUUAGUGAUGGUAAUAAAUCAAGAAAUACAAGGAGAAUUUGUGAUGGCAUUAAUUACAAAUCUGAUGUGCAUAUGUGUAUGUAUAUAUUCACAUAUGAAGACAUGCACAUCCAUAUUUGUAUGUUAGGAUAUUUAUCCAAAUUUAUAUUUACCCGUAUCUAUGUAUGUUUAUAUGUAUAUACACAUAGGUACAAAUAAGUUCAGUAAUGGUUGCAUUAGUAGGAAGAUUAAUUCACCGUCACAAUAUUUCAGGCUUGGUCUACAAGAGUGGCACAUUGGGUACGUGUCUCCCUUCAAAAGCUGCUGGCAGACUAAUGCCUUGGAUAUGCAGGAGGCUCACAUUCCUGCAUUUAAGUGACCCUUACCAAAUGUAUUGAGUGUCACUUCCUUUCAUUUGUUCACUCACUUGCAUACACACACACACACACACACGACAUAAAUACUCACAUGUUUUCACUUUCUGAAUCCUUGCACGAAAGAGUUGAGAAAAAAUUUGGUAAUAUUUGUUGAAAUUUCAUUUGAACAAAUCAUUUCAAGGAUCUGUAUUUCACAAGAAUAAUAAACCCCAUAACUUG